This 412-nucleotide ribosomal RNA is filed under the name bacterium enrichment culture clone ALO1_GLFRUDD03G31GN. RNAcentral describes it as "bacterial SSU rRNA". It matches the Rfam family "Bacterial small subunit ribosomal RNA", at positions 9 to 420 of the family's 1533-position model. The record is from RNAcentral.
GAGUUUGAUCCUGGCUCAGAUUGAACGCUGGCGGCAUGCCUUACACAUGCAAGUCGAACGGCAGCACGGGAGCUUGCUCCUGGUGGCGAGUGGCGAACGGGUGAGUAAUGCAUCGGAACGUAUCCUGGAGUGGGGGGAUAACGUAGCGAAAGUUACGCUAAUACCGCAUAUUCUGUGAGCAGGAAAGCGGGGGACCUUCGGGCCUCGCGCUCUUGGAGCGGCCGAUGUCGGAUUAGCUAGUUGGUGAGGUAAAGGCUCACCAAGGCGACGAUCCGUAGCAGGUCUGAGAGGAUGAUCUGCCACACUGGAACUGAGACACGGUCCAGACUCCUACGGGAGGCAGCAGUGGGGAAUUUUGGACAAUGGGGGCAACCCUGAUCCAGCCAUGCCGCGUGAGUGAAGAAGGCCUCGG